AUGAAAAUUAACAAGGCGCAGGGUCAGACUAUCCCAAACAUUGUUAUUUACCUUCCCGAUCUAGUAUUCUCACAUGGUCAGCGAUAUGUUGCAUUGUCAAGGGGAGUGUCAAGAGAUACGACACAGAUUUUGGCCAAGCCAAACAAGGAGGUGAUAAAUUCGAAAAAACACAAAGAACAUUGUCUAAAGAGAUGUUUUGGGGAGAUGAGGCAGGUGCGUUAUUCCAAUAUUUAUUUGCACAUAAUACUAUGUCAAUUUAUCUUUAAAUACUCCGGGAUAUAA
This 282-nucleotide ribosomal RNA is filed under the name Triticum aestivum (bread wheat). RNAcentral describes it as "partial small subunit ribosomal RNA". The record is from RNAcentral. Lineage: Eukaryota; Viridiplantae; Streptophyta; Magnoliopsida; Poales; Poaceae.